RNAcentral lists this ribosomal RNA (402 nucleotides) under uncultured Candidatus Solibacter sp. RNAcentral describes it as "bacterial SSU rRNA". It matches the Rfam family "Bacterial small subunit ribosomal RNA", at positions 355 to 774 of the family's 1533-position model. The record is from RNAcentral. Lineage: Bacteria; Pseudomonadati; Acidobacteriota; Terriglobia; Bryobacterales; Solibacteraceae.
UGGGGAAUCUUGCACAAUGGGGGCAACCCUGAUGCAGCGACGCCGCGUGAGCGAUGAAGCCCUUCGGGGUGUAAAGCUCUUUCGGCAGGGAAGAUAAUGACGGUACCUGCAGAAGCAGCUGCGGCUAACUACGUGCCAGCAGCCGCGGUAAUACGUAGGCAGCGAGCGUUGUUCGGAGUUACUGGGCGUAAAGGGUGUGUAGGCGGUUGUUUAAGUUUGGUGUGAAAUCUCCCGGCUCAACUGGGAGGGUGCGCCGAAUACUGAAUGACUAGAGUGCGGGAGAGGAAAGUGGAAUUCCUGGUGUAGCGGUGAAAUGCGUAGAUAUCAGGAGGAACACCGGUGGUGUAGACGGCUUUCUGGACCGUAACUGACGCUGAGACACGAAAGCGUGGGUAGCAAACA